Molecule: non-coding RNA, 90 nt
Organism: Leucoagaricus sp. SymC.cos
Lineage: Eukaryota; Fungi; Basidiomycota; Agaricomycetes; Agaricales; Agaricaceae
Source: Rfam
GGCCACCUAGUGAAAUGGCAUUGCAUCUGACUAUAAACUUAUAAAGAUUCACAAAUUAGGAGAUUGCAGGUUUGAUCCCUGUGAUGGUCA